AUGCUCACUUCAGGAGCACAUAUACAAAAAUUGGAAUGAUACAGAGACGAUUAGCAUGACUCUUAUUCAAAGAUGACAUGCAAAUUCAUGAAGCAUUCCAUUUUUUU
Molecule: small nuclear RNA, 107 nt
Filed under: Salvator merianae (Argentine black and white tegu)
Lineage: Eukaryota; Metazoa; Chordata; Lepidosauria; Squamata; Teiidae
Source: RNAcentral